Molecule: ribosomal RNA, 448 nt
Filed under: uncultured bacterium
Lineage: Bacteria
Description: bacterial SSU rRNA
Rfam family: Bacterial small subunit ribosomal RNA
Source: RNAcentral
AGCGAACGCUGGCGGCAGGCUUAACACAUGCAAGUCGAGCGGGCGUAGCAAUACGUCAGCGGCAGACGGGUGAGUAACGCGUGGGAACGUACCUUUUGGUUCGGAACAACACAGGGAAACUUGUGCUAAUACCGGAUAAGCCCUUACGGGGAAAGAUUUAUCGCCGAAAGAUCGGCCCGCGUCUGAUUAGCUAGUUGGUGAGGUAACGGCUCACCAAGGCGACGAUCAGUAGCUGGUCUGAGAGGAUGAUCAGCCACAUUGGGACUGAGACACGGCCCAAACUCCUACGGGAGGCAGCAGUGGGGAAUAUUGGACAAUGGGGGCAACCCUGAUCCAGCCAUGCCGCGUGAGUGAUGAAGGCCCUAGGGUUGUAAAGCUCUUUUGUGCGGGAAGAUAAUGACGGUACGCAAGAAUAAGCCCCGGCUAACUUCGUGCCAGCAGCCGCGGU